RNAcentral lists this microRNA (23 nucleotides) under Ciona intestinalis (vase tunicate). RNAcentral's name for it is "cin-miR-4072-5p". Lineage: Eukaryota; Metazoa; Chordata; Ascidiacea; Phlebobranchia; Cionidae. The record is from miRBase by way of RNAcentral.
UUUGUUUUAAGGCUUCAUUUUCU